This is a long non-coding RNA of Cygnus olor (mute swan), 608 nucleotides long. RefSeq lists it as uncharacterized. The transcript is spliced from 2 exons. Lineage: Eukaryota; Metazoa; Chordata; Aves; Anseriformes; Anatidae. The record is from RefSeq and is a predicted model, not a curated record.
ACCUGGCCCAACUCAAUUAGAAGUUGAGCUCCACGAAGAGGUGAGUAUCUGCACCCACUGCAGUGUACACGCCCAGUCAAGGGCAUCAUAAUGGACCCAAACAAGGGAAUCACAAUGGACUUCUCAGUCUCCAAAGAUCCGAAGUUGCUGGCCUGUGGGAGAUCCAUAAAGGAUGUGUCCUUGAUGGGGUCUUGGGCUCAUAUUGUAUACAACACAGCUAAAACCAAUACUUCAUAAAGGGCAAAGACUAAUAAUAUGCUCUCUGAGAAAAUCUGACUGGCAUGCUGAUACAGUGAACACCACAUGUGGACAGCCAGAAUAAAUUAUGGUGGGACACAACAGCUCUAGCAGAUUAAUUUCACUCUGAGCCUCUUCUAAAAGAGGCACACAGUGCAAAUAAAGCCUUCUGGGAACAUGAAGGAGAAGAAGAUGACUCGGAGCAGUCAGCAUUGAUUUGCCAAGGGUAAAUCACACCUGACCAACUUGAUUAUCUUCAAUGGACACCAUCUGUGGUUUCUGAGAGAAAGGAAUACCAACAAAGAUAGGAAAGGGUUGCUUGAACUAAGCUAAGUAACAUGCUAAAUAAACUCAAGACAAGAAAAAGUAAA